RNAcentral lists this ribosomal RNA (497 nucleotides) under uncultured bacterium. RNAcentral describes it as "partial 16S ribosomal RNA". It matches the Rfam family "Bacterial small subunit ribosomal RNA", at positions 28 to 507 of the family's 1533-position model. The record is from RNAcentral.
GAUGAACGCUGGCGGCGUGCCUAAUACAUGCAAGUCGAGCGAACAGACGAGGAGCUUGCUCCUCUGACGUUAGCGGCGGACGGGUGAGUAACACGUGGAUAACCUACCUAUAAGACUGGGAUAACUUCGGGAAACCGGAGCUAAUACCGGAUAAUAUAUUGAACCGCAUGGUUCAAUAGUGAAAGACGGUUUUGCUGUCACUUAUAGAUGGAUCCGCGCCGCAUUAGCUAGUUGGUAAGGUAACGGCUUACCAAGGCGACGAUGCGUAGCCGACCUGAGAGGGUGAACCGCCCACACUGAACCGGGAAAAGGUUCCAAAUCCUAAGGGGAGCAGCAAGAGGGAAUCCUCCGGCAUUGGCGGAAGCCCGGAGGGACAACGGCGGGGGAGGGGUGAAGGUCUUCCGGUCGUAAAACUCUGUUAUUAGGGAAGAACAAAUGUGUAAGUAACUAAGCACGGCUUGAAGGUAACUAAUCAGAAAGGCAAGGCUAACUACGUG